Molecule: transfer RNA, 74 nt
Filed under: Gossypium hirsutum (cotton)
Lineage: Eukaryota; Viridiplantae; Streptophyta; Magnoliopsida; Malvales; Malvaceae
Rfam family: tRNA
About the family: Transfer RNA (tRNA) molecules are approximately 80 nucleotides in length.
Source: Rfam by way of RNAcentral
GCGGGUGUAGCCAAGUGGAUAAAGGCAGUGGAUUGUGAACGCACCGUGCGCAGGUUCAAUUCCCAUCGUUUGCC